Engraulis encrasicolus (European anchovy) is the source of this 475-nucleotide long non-coding RNA. RefSeq lists it as uncharacterized. The transcript has 3 exons. NCBI's taxonomy places the organism in Eukaryota, Metazoa, Chordata, Actinopteri, Clupeiformes, Engraulidae. The record is from RefSeq and is a predicted model, not a curated record.
GAGGAACCUGUUGCAGCCCAAGGCAGUCAACCUAAAAGGCCUUGCCGCAUCAACUAUGAAGCAAAAACUCUGAUUGAAAAAAUCCUGACUACAAAGCCUGGAGGUGACCGUAUCAUCGAGGAGUAUGCAAAAACAAAAUCAAUCACAGAUUCAACCAGAAGACGGCUCAUCAACAUACUUGCUGCAGAAAUGACGGAAACACAUGGGACCUCGCCGCCGCGGAGUGUGAAAGUGAUGUAUGCACAGGGGAUUAUCGCUCUGUUUCCAUAUCUUGAAGACCCAUACUCACAGAAUGGCUAUGUAAGUAAAGGUUUUACAAUAUAUCACCCCUUCAAACUGUUGCUUGUAUGAAUGGUAACGCUUUAUUUUAGUGUUACAUCUAUAACCACGAAUACAUACAAUGUUAAUGCCGGUAUAAGUAACUUUGAAGGCAUGUACUAAGCAAAAUCAAACAUUUGUUAGGUCCUUACUAAGG